GGUGGCUCAGUGGUAGAGCGCUUGCCUUGCAAGCAUGAGGCCCUGGGUUCCAUUCCUCAGCACCA
Non-coding RNA from Dipodomys ordii (Ord's kangaroo rat), 65 nucleotides. Lineage: Eukaryota; Metazoa; Chordata; Mammalia; Rodentia; Heteromyidae. The record is from Rfam.